GGGGCUGUUUGUCAUCACUCACGCAAACCUGUAGGACAGCUUUUUUUUUUUUUUUUAAAGGGUUUAUCCUGACAACAAUAUCUGGAUUUUUCUUCCCAGCUAGUAAGGUCUCUCCGGAACACGGCCCUGCAAUUGCAAGUGAAAUAUGCCACUGCUGUCUUGUACACACAGGUAGCAGUUAAGAAGAAAGGCGAGAACCACGACUGGAUGACAACUGUCUGGGGUCGGUUGUCUCCGUGAAAAUGCGCACCUCCCGACUGGCACAAGCGACCGGCAGCCUAUCUGCGUGUGUGGUGAAUAUUAAGUUUCCUAUCUCUUGGGAAGAGCAGGGGCCCACCACAGAUAAGUGGAUUGACAAGCCACGCCUAAUUAUGCAGACGUUAUAAAGAAGUGAAGAUAUAAAGUGACCUCUGACUCAACUGAUGAAUUGCGCAGAAGCUGUUCACUUUCCUUUCUGUGGGCCUCCAGCAACGGAGAAGCUGCGUGGCUCCAUUUACACAGGAGAAACCCUCUGCAAUCUGAACAGGUUCUCUCUCCAAAGGAGAAGUGUGCAAUGGGCAGUCCAGCUGAUUGGGGGCUGGCAUGCUGCUUCCCCCUGUAAAAGAAAUCGGGAGAGGCAGGGAGACUGUGCUGCACUGGCCAGGGUGUCAUCCUUGGGACCCAGACUCCAGGGUCAAACUUCUUCAGGAGCCAUGGUGGGUACAUACAGUCUUGUGAUAUUCCUUUGGCCAGGAUUCAGAGUGCAAGCCUGUUGGGGCCCAAGCUAUCCAAAUGCUCAGAUUCUGAAACGCCGGGACACAAUCUGAUCCCAAAGCCUGCCAUAAACUAGGUCAGUGUGAUAAGCAUGUUGCAAAAGAUGCUUCAAGAGCAACGAAUAAAAAACAUACAACACAA
Pantherophis guttatus is the source of this 894-nucleotide long non-coding RNA. RefSeq lists it as uncharacterized. Lineage: Eukaryota; Metazoa; Chordata; Lepidosauria; Squamata; Colubridae. The record is from RefSeq and is a predicted model, not a curated record.